UGGGGAAUAUUGCACAAUGGGGGAAACCCUGAUGCAGCAACGCCGCGUGAGUGAAGAAGUAUUUCGGUAUGUAAAGCUCUAUCAGCAGGGAAGAGAAUGACGGUACCUGACUAAGAAGCCCCGGCUAACUACGUGCCAGCAGCCGCGGUAAUACGUAGGGGGCGAGCGUUAUCCGGAUUUACUGGGUGUAAAGGGAGCGUAGACGGUUCUGCAAGUCUGAAGUGAAAGCCCGUGGCUUAACCGCGGAACGGCUUUGGAAACUGUGGAACUGGAGUGCUGGAGAGGCAAGCGGAAUUCCUAGUGUAGCGGUGAAAUGCGUAGAUAUUAGGAGGAACACCAGUGGCGAAGGCGGCUUGCUGGACAGUAACUGACGUUGAGGCUCGAAAGCGUGGGGAGCAAACAGG
This 404-nucleotide ribosomal RNA is filed under the name uncultured bacterium. RNAcentral's name for it is "bacterial SSU rRNA". It matches the Rfam family "Bacterial small subunit ribosomal RNA", at positions 355 to 776 of the family's 1533-position model. The record is from RNAcentral.